CCUACGGGAGGCAGCAGUGGGGAAUCUUGCGCAAUGGGCGAAAGCCUGACGCAGCCAUGCCGCGUGAAUGAUGAAGGUCUUAGGAUUGUAAAAUUCUUUCACCGGGGACGAUAAUGACGGUACCCGGAGAAGAAGCCCCGGCUAACUUCGUGCCAGCAGCCGCGGUAAUACGAAGGGGGCUAGCGUUGCUCGGAAUUACUGGGCGUAAAGGGAGCGUAGGCGGAUAGUUUAGUCAGAGGUGAAAGCCCAGGGCUCAACCUUGGAAUUGCCUUUGAUACUGGCUAUCUUGAGUGUGGGAGAGGUAUGUGGAACUCCGAGUGUAGAGGUGAAAUUCGUAGAUAUUCGGAAGAACACCAGUGGCGAAGGCGACAUACUGGCCCAUUACUGACGCUGAGGCUCGAAAGCGUGGGGAGCAAACAGGAUUAGAUACCCUGGUAGUCCACGCUGUAAACGAUGAGUGCUAGUUGUCGGCAGCAUGCUGUCGGUGACGCAGCUACGACAUAAGACACUCCGCCGUGGGAGGUACGGUCGCGAGAAUAAACUACGAAGAAGUAGACGGCGNGAGACGUGCCGAACGGACGACGACGAGGGAGGUAGG
This 598-nucleotide ribosomal RNA is filed under the name uncultured bacterium. RNAcentral describes it as "bacterial SSU rRNA". The stretch from base 1 to 515 matches the Rfam family "Bacterial small subunit ribosomal RNA", at positions 338 to 873 of the family's 1533-position model. The record is from RNAcentral.